UACGUAGGGUGCGAGCGUUGUCCGGAAUUAUUGGGCGUAAAGGGCUCGUAGGCGGUUUGUCGCGUCGGGAGUGAAAACCAGGUGCUUAACACCUGGCUUGCUUUCGAUACGGGCCGACUAGAGGUAUUCAGGGGAGAACGGAAUUCCUGGUGUAGCGGUGAAAUGCGCAGAUAUCAGGAGGAACACCGGUGGCGAAGGCGGUUCUCUGGUCCACUAUUGACGCUGAGGAGCGAAAGCGUGGGGAGCGAACAGG
RNAcentral lists this ribosomal RNA (253 nucleotides) under uncultured bacterium. Its description in RNAcentral is "partial 16S ribosomal RNA". It matches the Rfam family "Bacterial small subunit ribosomal RNA", at positions 524 to 776 of the family's 1533-position model. The record is from RNAcentral.